RNAcentral lists this ribosomal RNA (273 nucleotides) under uncultured Rickettsia sp. RNAcentral's name for it is "partial 16S ribosomal RNA". It matches the Rfam family "Bacterial small subunit ribosomal RNA", at positions 524 to 796 of the family's 1533-position model. Lineage: Bacteria; Pseudomonadati; Pseudomonadota; Alphaproteobacteria; Rickettsiales; Rickettsiaceae. The record is from RNAcentral.
UACAGAGGGUGCAAGCGUUAAUCAGAAUGACUGGGCGUAAAGGGCGUGUAGGUGGUUGACUAGGUUUGAUGUGAAGUCCCCGGGCUUAACCUGGGAAUUGCGUCGAAAACGGGUCGACUGGAGUGAGAUAGAGGGUUGUGGAAUUUCCGGUGUAGCGGUGAAAUGCGUAGAUAUCGGAAAGAACAUCAGUGGCGAAGGCGACAACCUGGAUCUUAACUGACACUGAGGCGCGAGGGCGUGGGGAUCAAACAGGAUUAGAAACCCCAGUAGUCC